AACCCUUUCGGCGCCCGCCGCCGGCGCAGACGGGCGGGGCUUCGGCCGCGGGUUCUCGGUCUUUCUGCCGCCCCAGGCUGGGUGCGGGAGGGCGUCGCCGGUACCGCCCCUCUUCCUGUCACCCUAGGGCGGCCUCUGGGCGACCGCGGUGUUGAUUCAGGGUCCUUGAUGUUGGAGGACACUGGCCGGGUGGGUCCCUUACGUCACGUCACAAGGCAGCCUGGGGGAGUCUGCGCUGCCGCCCUCCCUAGCAUGUGCUGGCUAGGAUGGUAGCCUACCUUUUGUAAGCCAAGCGCUACCUCCUAAGUGAGUCUACGCCCCACAAGUUGGAACAGGAACCAAUGCCCCUAUUAAGGAGGAAGAAACGCACUUUGGAAACGCUAAAUAUUUCCAGUAGCCCAAGAAGAACGGGUGAUGAAGCUGCAGCUGUCAUAGACACAAAGCAGGUGAGAUCUGACAACAGUGAGACUCCAUCCAGCCUUGCAGAAAACAUCUUGCUGAGCUGCACUUCAGUGUGUUACUCUGAGCUUUUGACUAGAACGGCCACUAGCAGCCUGCAGCCUGUGAGUUCAAUUUGAGAGAUAAGUAUUUUUCACGUGUCUUUAAGAACUCCAACGGAAAGAAAGACUAUUUAAUAUAGACAGACCAUCUGUGCCCCUAAAAAGCUUCAAUUAUUUGGCAUCUACUGCUAUACAGAAAAGUGUUUUGUAUGCUUUAUCUAUAAGCAAUAAUAUCCAUAUAAAAACAGCAGCAAAUGAUUAAAAAGCCACAAAAUUUCUGAA
Molecule: long non-coding RNA, 782 nt
Filed under: Mus musculus (house mouse)
Lineage: Eukaryota; Metazoa; Chordata; Mammalia; Rodentia; Muridae
Description: ADP-ribosylation factor-like 4A, opposite strand, transcript variant 2 (Arl4aos)
Source: RNAcentral